AGAAUCAACGCUGGCGGCGUGCCUAACACAUGCAAGUCGAACGAGAAAGGGAUUUCGGUCCUGAGUAUAGUGGCGCACGGGUGAGUAACACGUGAAUAAUCUACCUCCGAGUGGGGAAUAACUGAGAGAAAUCUUAGCUAAUACCGCAUAACACUUACGAGUCAAAGCAGCAAUGCGCUUGGAGAGGAGUUCGCGGCCGAUUAGUUAGUUGGCGGGGUAAUGGCCCACCAAGACGAUGAU
This 240-nucleotide ribosomal RNA is filed under the name uncultured bacterium. Its description in RNAcentral is "partial small subunit ribosomal RNA". It matches the Rfam family "Bacterial small subunit ribosomal RNA", at positions 26 to 280 of the family's 1533-position model. The record is from RNAcentral.